RNAcentral lists this ribosomal RNA (406 nucleotides) under uncultured bacterium. Its description in RNAcentral is "partial 16S ribosomal RNA". It matches the Rfam family "Bacterial small subunit ribosomal RNA", at positions 30 to 526 of the family's 1533-position model. The record is from RNAcentral.
AUUGAACGCUGGCGGCAGGCCUCACCCAUGCAAGUCGACCGAGUAGCGGACGGGGGAGUAAUGUCUGGGACACUGCCCGAUGGAGGGGGAUAACUACUGGAAACUGUAGCUAAUACCGCAUACAAUCGGAUUCGCCCCGAUCGGAUUAGCUAGUAGGUGGGGUAACGGCUCACCUAGGCGACGAUCCCUAGCUGGUCUGAGAGGAUGACCAGCCACACUGGAACUGAGACACGGUCCAGACUCCUACGGGAGGCAGCAGUGGGGAAUAUUGCACAAUGGGCGCAAGCCUGAUGCAGCAAUGCCGCGUGUAUGAAGAAGGCUUUCGGGUUGUAAAGUACUUUCAGCGAGGAGGCGUUACUCGCAGAAGAAGCACCGGCUAACUCCGUGCCAGCAGCCGCGGUAAUAC